AUACGUAGGGGGCAAGCGUUAUCCGGAAUUACUGGGUGUAAAGGGUGCGUAGGUGGUAUGGCAAGUCAGAAGUGAAAACCCAGGGCUUAACUCUGGGACUGCUUUUGAAACUGUCAGACUGGAGUGCAGGAGAGGUAAGCGGAAUUCCUAGUGUAGCGGUGAAAUGCGUAGAUAUUAGGAGGAACAUCAGUGGCGAAGGCGGCUUACUGGACUGAAACUGACACUGAGGCACGAAAGCGUGGGAAGC
Molecule: ribosomal RNA, 247 nt
Filed under: uncultured bacterium
Lineage: Bacteria
Description: partial 16S ribosomal RNA
Rfam family: Bacterial small subunit ribosomal RNA
Source: RNAcentral